Molecule: ribosomal RNA, 1341 nt
Filed under: metagenome
Description: bacterial LSU rRNA
Rfam family: Bacterial large subunit ribosomal RNA
Source: RNAcentral
CCCUAUGCUGCCAAGAAAAGCAUCGGCGCGAGGUUUUAGCGGCCCGUACCCCAAACCGACACAGGUGGUCAGGUAGAGAAUACUCAGGAGAUCGAGAGAAUCAUGGUGAAGGAACUCGGCAAAAUGCCCCCGUAACUUCGGGAGAAGGGGGGCCAUCCACUUAUUAGGACUUGCUCCGAAAGGGUGUGGUGGCCGCAGAGACCAGUGGGAAGCGACUGUUUACUAAAAACACAGGUCCGUGCGAACAUGCAAAUGGAUGUAUACGGACUGACGCCUGCCCGGUGCUGGAAGGUUAAGAGGAGAGGUUAGACCUUUGGGUCGAAGCUUUGAAUUUAAGCCCCAGUAAACGGCGGUGGUAACUAUAACCAUCCUAAGGUAGCGAAAUUCCUUGUCGGGUAAGUUCCGACCUGCACGAAUGGCGUAACGACUUCCCAGCUGUCUCCACCAUGAACUCGGCGAAAUUGCAGUACGAGUAAAGAUGCUCGUUACGCGCAGAAGGACGGAAAGACCCCGUGACCUUUACUACAGCUUGGUAUUGGUGUUCGGUGUGGCUUGUGUAGGAUAGGUGGGAGACUAUGAGACUGCAACGCUAGUUGUGGUGGAGUCGUUGUUGAAAUACCACUCUGGUCAUACUGGAUGUCUAACUACGGACCCUGAUCGGGUUCAGGGACAGUGCCUGGUGGGUAGUUUAACUGGGGCGUUGCCUCCCAAAAUGUAACGGAGGCGCCCAAAGGUUCCCUCAACCUGGUUGGCAAUCAGGUGGCGAGUGUAAGUGCACAAGGGAGCUUGACUGUGAGACUGACAGGUCGAGCAGGGACGAAAGUCGGGACUAGUGAUCCGGCAGUGGCUUGUGGAAGCGCUGUCGCUCAACGGAUAAAAGGUACCUCGGGGAUAACAGGCUGAUCUUGCCCAAGAGUCCAUAUCGACGGCAUGGUUUGGCACCUCGAUGUCGGCUCGUCGCAUCCUGGGGCUGGAGUAGGUCCCAAGGGUUGGGCUGUUCGCCCAUUAAAGCGGUACGCGAGCUGGGUUUAGAACGUCGUGAGACAGUUCGGUCCCUAUCCUCUGCGCGCGUUGGAGAUUUGAGAGGAUCUGACCCUUGUACGAGAGGACCGGGUUGGACGGACCUCUGGUGUGCCAGUUGUUCUGCCAAGGGCAUGGCUGGUUUGCUACGUUCGGGAUGGAUAACCGCUGAAAGCAUCUAAGCGGGAAGCCGGCCUCAAGAUGAGAUCUCCAUGCACCUUCGAGUGCGUGAGGCUCCCAGGAGAUUACUGGGUUGAUAGGCCAGAUGUGGAAGUGGGGUAACUCAUGGAGCUGACUGGUACUAAUAAGCCGAUGACUUGA